Molecule: non-coding RNA, 970 nt
Organism: Nicotiana tabacum (common tobacco)
Lineage: Eukaryota; Viridiplantae; Streptophyta; Magnoliopsida; Solanales; Solanaceae
Source: RefSeq, a predicted model, not a curated record
GGUUAAACAAAUAAUUAAUCACGAACUCGUCAAAGCUAGGGUUUAAGCUCGUUUCAUCGAGAAAUCUUGCCGACGACGAAACCAUGUUUCCAGGAUUGUUCAUGCGUAAACCUGACAAAGCAGCUGCUCUCAAGCAGCUGAAGACUCACGUCGCCCUCUUCGGAGCUUGGGUCGCCGUAAUUCGGGUCACCCCAUAUAUCCUCCACUAUUUUUCGGAUCAGAAAGAAGAACUCCUCCUCGAGCUCUAAAUCCCUAUUAUUUUUUGCACUUCUUUCUACUCAGGACUUUGUUCAACGGCAAAGGAUGUGUGGCAGGCGCACAUCGUGAGUUCGAAUUUUGGGUGGUGAACAAAAGUCCGGUAUCUAAAUGGAGAAGAGUAGAGGGGCCUAGCCCCAUUAUCUACCGAGUUUUGAACCGUGGCACCAAUGACCCUUGGGGAUUUCUCGGUUGUAAAAAAAAUUUAGUGUGGCUUUCGUACAAGUUCCUUAAUCUUGAUAUGUUUAAGUUGCUUACUCCUAGUAUAUCAGUUGUUUAUAAUUUCAGUUUGGACUGGAAUUCAUGCAUGUGCUCACAUAGUUUCUCUAGAGGAAGGAAUAUUUGGAAGAAAAGUAGCUAGUGUUCUCUACACAUCUGUUGACCCUCUUCUCAGUCAUUUCUGUCUCUACAUUUCAUUUUCAUUUGUCGAUAUGAUUCUGAAUUUGUCAGGUUGGCAUAUAAUUGGGAAUUGUAUGGUUGUACCCUAGUUAUUUGAGAUAAAAUUUGCUGCGGAAACUCUCUCUUGGUUUAUUGACACAAAAGUCAUAUGUGUGAAUUUGAUGGCUUUCCCACCUAGAUUAGAUACCCAUCUUCCCCAGCAAUCCUUGCACUAUGUUACUGAAUGCAUAAAUGAUCCCAUAAGUGAGAUUUAGCGUGGUUCUAUCUGUAAUGUUACCAAUGCAAUAUGGCCACCAAAUCGCCUCUUGUUAUGUUU